Molecule: ribosomal RNA, 253 nt
Filed under: uncultured bacterium
Lineage: Bacteria
Description: partial 16S ribosomal RNA
Rfam family: Bacterial small subunit ribosomal RNA
Source: RNAcentral
UACGGGGGGGGCAAGCGUUGUUCGGAAUUACUGGGCGUAAAGGGCUCGUAGGCGGCCAACUAAGUCAGACGUGAAAUCCCUCGGCUUAACCGGGGAACUGCGUCUGAUACUGGAUGGCUUGAGUGUGGGAGAGGGAUGCGGAAUUCCAGGUGUAGCGGUGAAAUGCGCAGAUAUCAGGAGGAACACCCGUGGCGAAAGCGGCUCUCUGGGACGGUACUGACGCUGAGACGCGAAAGCGUGGGGAGCAAACAGG